UACGUAGGGUGCGAGCGUUGUCCGGAAUUAUUGGGCGUAAAGAGCUCGUAGGCGGCUUGUCACGUCGGUUGUGAAAGCCCGGGGCUUAACCCCGGGUCUGCAGUCGAUACGGGCAGGCUAGAGUUCGGUAGGGGAGAUCGGAAUUCCUGGUGUAGCGGUGAAAUGCGCAGAUAUCAGGAGGAACACCGGUGGCGAAGGCGGUUCUCUGGGCAUGUCCUGACGCUGAGGAGCGAAAGUGUGGGGAGCGAACAGG
Molecule: ribosomal RNA, 253 nt
Filed under: uncultured bacterium
Lineage: Bacteria
Description: partial 16S ribosomal RNA
Rfam family: Bacterial small subunit ribosomal RNA
Source: RNAcentral